UACAGAGGGUGCGAGCGUUAAUCAGAAUUACUGGGCGUAAAGCGCACGUAGGUGGCUUUGCAAGUCGAUUGUGAAAUCCCCGGGCUUAACCUGGGAACUGCAGUCGAGACUGCUUUGCUUGAGUAUGGGAGAGGGAGGUGGAAUUUCCGGUGUAGCGGUGAAAUGCGUAGAUAUCGGAAGGAACAUCAGUGGCGAAGGCGACCUCCUGGACCAAUACUGACACUCAAGUGCGAAAGCGUGGGGAGCAAACAGG
Molecule: ribosomal RNA, 253 nt
Filed under: uncultured bacterium
Lineage: Bacteria
Description: partial 16S ribosomal RNA
Rfam family: Bacterial small subunit ribosomal RNA
Source: RNAcentral